AGAGUUUGAUCCUGGCUCAGGACGAACGCUGGCGGCGUGCUUAACACAUGCAAGUGGAGCGACGAACCAGGGCUUGCCCUGGGGCAAAGCCGCGAACGGGUGAGUAACACGUGGGUAACCCACCCCGAUGAUCGGGACAACCCGGGGAAACUCGGGCUAAUACCGAAUGUGCUUCAGGUUCAUGAGGACCUGACGUAAAGAUAGCUUCGGCCUUCGCAUCGGGACGGGCCCGCGGCCCAUUAGCUUGUUGGUGAGGUAACGGCUUACCAAGGCUACGAUGGGUAGCUGGUCUGAGAGGACGAUCAGCCACACUGGGACUGAGACACGGCCCAGACUCCUACGGGAGGCAGCAGUGGGGAAUCUUGCACAAUGCGCGAAAGCGUGAUGCAGCAACGCCGCGUGGGGGAAGAAGGCCUUCGGGUUGUAAACCCCUUUCAGUUGGGACGAAGCUUCGCCGGUGAAUAGCCGGCUGGAGUGACGGUACCUUCACAAGAAGCCCCGGCUAACUACGUG
This 513-nucleotide ribosomal RNA is filed under the name uncultured Solirubrobacter sp. RNAcentral's name for it is "bacterial SSU rRNA". It matches the Rfam family "Bacterial small subunit ribosomal RNA", at positions 8 to 507 of the family's 1533-position model. Lineage: Bacteria; Bacillati; Actinomycetota; Thermoleophilia; Solirubrobacterales; Solirubrobacteraceae. The record is from RNAcentral.